AGAGUUUGAUCCUGGCUCAGAGCGAACGCUGGCGGCACGCCUAACACAUGCAAGUCGAGCGAGAAAGUGACUUCGGUCGCGAGUAAAGCGGCGAACGGGUGAGUACAACGUGGAUAAUCUACCCUAAGGUCUGGGACAACCCCGAGAAAUCGGGGCUAAUACCGGAUAAGACCACAGUAUCCAAGGAUACAGCGGUAAAAGAUUUAUCGCCUUUGGAUGAGUCCACGCCCCAUCAGGUAGUUGGUAAGGUAAAGGCUUACCAAGCCUAAGACGGGUAGCCGGCCUUAGCGGGUGAACGGCCACAUGGGGACUGAGACACGGCCCUGACUCCUACGGGAGGCAGCAGUGGGGAAUAUUGGGCAAUGGGCGAAAGCCUGACCCAGCGAUGCCGCGUGAGGGAUGAAGGCCUUCGGGUUGUAAACCUCUGUCAGGAGGGACGAUGGGACUUUGUCUUGACGGUACCUCCAGAGGAAGCCCCGGCUAACUCCGUGCCAGCAGCCGCGGUAAUACGGAGGGGGCAAGCGUUGCUCGGAAUUACUGGGCGUAAAGGGUC
Molecule: ribosomal RNA, 553 nt
Filed under: uncultured bacterium
Lineage: Bacteria
Description: bacterial SSU rRNA
Rfam family: Bacterial small subunit ribosomal RNA
Source: RNAcentral